AGAGUUUGAUCCUGGCUCAGAUUGAACGCUGGCGGCAGGCCUAACACAUGCAAGUCGAGCGCGAAAGGCCUUCGGGCUGAGUAGAGCGGCGGACGGGUGAGUAACGCGUAGGAAUCUACCUGGUAGUGGGGGACAACUUGGGGAAACUCAAGCUAAUACCGCAUACGCCCCAAGGGGGAAAGCGGGGGACCUUCGGGCCUCGCGCUAUCAGAGGAGCCUGCGUAGGAUUAGCUAGUUGGUAGGGUAAAGGCCUACCAAGGCGACGAUCCUUAGCUGGUCUGAGAGGAUGAUCAGCCACACUGGGACUGAGACACGGCCCAGACUCCUACAGGAGGCAGCAGUGGGGAAUAUUGCGCAAUGGGGGCAACCCUGACGCAGCCAUGCCGCGUGUGUGAAGAAGGCCUUCGGGUUGUAAAGCACUUUCAAUGGGGAAGAAAAGCGUAGCGUAAUAGCGUUCGCUGCUGACUUUACCCAUAGGAGAGCACGGCUACUUCGUGCCAGCAGCCGCGGUAAUAC
Molecule: ribosomal RNA, 516 nt
Filed under: uncultured bacterium
Lineage: Bacteria
Description: bacterial SSU rRNA
Rfam family: Bacterial small subunit ribosomal RNA
Source: RNAcentral